This 204-nucleotide non-coding RNA is filed under the name Porphyromonas sp. Lineage: Bacteria; Pseudomonadati; Bacteroidota; Bacteroidia; Bacteroidales; Porphyromonadaceae. The record is from RNAcentral.
GUAUCUUUGUAGUGCAUUUGUGGAGGUGAUAGAGUUCACCUCUUGGGAAACUGGUGUGAGUCCAGUACAGUACCCGCUGCUGUAAGUCUUGAUGGGCUGAGAAGCCUUGACAGCACCCCGAUCGUUUGCCACUGCCCAUGUGGGCGGGAAGGUACGGAGGUGUAUGAGAUAAGUCAGAAGACCGACAGAUGCAUUUUACCGUAU